UCGGCCACUGCUCGCGGUUCCCUGACCCAGACCCCACCCGUAGAUCAUCUCUCUCCUUCUCUUACUUACUUAGAGAAAGAUUCUUUGUUCUCUCUCUCUCUCUCUUCUCUCUUUCCCACUGGUAUCGCAUCAAAGCCUUACCUUCCUCCUCCUCGCCUUCUGUCCAUCAAGAGCUCCAGAAUUUGCAGAAAAGAAGGCAAAGAUGGAGAGCCGCCUUCACCUCGGCUUUCACUUCAAGCCUACUGAUCAAGAGAUACUGGUCUGCCUCUUUUGUCGUGCUAAUAGUCUGCCUUCUCCCGGGGAAUUCCUCAUAGAAGAAGACCUCAGGUGUUUUCGGAUUGAUCGACCUCCAGAUAAAUAAGAUUGCUAGGAGCAGGGAGCUCGAUGUACUUCAUGGGUUAGGAAAAAUUGUAAUUUCAAAAUGUUCAAAUUUGUAGAGCUCGUAUUGAAAACAUUCUAUGAAUGAAAUGACAUUUUGUAUAAAUUGCUAA
This is a non-coding RNA of Phoenix dactylifera (date palm), 491 nucleotides long. The record is from RefSeq and is a predicted model, not a curated record. Lineage: Eukaryota; Viridiplantae; Streptophyta; Magnoliopsida; Arecales; Arecaceae.